RNAcentral lists this ribosomal RNA (440 nucleotides) under uncultured bacterium. RNAcentral's name for it is "partial 16S ribosomal RNA". It matches the Rfam family "Bacterial small subunit ribosomal RNA", at positions 338 to 795 of the family's 1533-position model. The record is from RNAcentral.
CCUACGGGAGGCUGCAGUGGGGAAUAUUGCACAAUGGGGGAAACCCUGAUGCAGCGACGCCGCGUGAGUGAAGAAGGAUUUCGGUAUGUAAAGCUCUAUCAGCAGGGAAGAAAAUGACGGUACCUGAUUAAGAAGCCCCGGCUAACUACGUGCCAGCAGCCGCGGUUAUACGUAGGGGGCAAGCGUUAUCCGGAUUUACUGGGUGUAAAGGGAGCGUAGGCGGCAGGCCAAGUCAGGAGUGAAAUGCUGGGGCUUAACCCCGGAACUGCUUUGGAAACUGGGCAGCUAGAGUGCAGUAGAGGUAAGUGGAAUUCCUAGUGUAGCGGUGAAAUGCGUAGAUAUUAGGAGGAACACCAGUGGCGAAGGCGGCUUACUGGACUGUAACUGACGUUGAGGCUCGAAAGCGUGGGGAGCAAACAGGAUUAGAUACCCCAGUAGUC